UGGAAGGUAAAAAUCGUAACAAGGUUUCCGUAGGUGAACCUGCGGAAGGAUCAUUAGUGAACAUAGGACGUCCAACUUAACUUGGAGUCCGAACUCUCACUUUCUAACCCUGUGCAUUUGUUUGGGGUAGUAGCCUCUCGGGGCGAAUCCCUAUUCACUUAUAAACACAAAGUCUAUGAAUGUAUUUAAUUUUAUAACAAAAUAAAACUUUCAACAACGGAUCUCUUGGCUCUCGCAUCGAUGAAGAACGCAGCGAAAUGCGAUAAGUAAUGUGAAUUGCAGAAUUCAGUGAAUCAUCGAAUCUUUGAACGCACCUUGCGCUCCAUGGUAUUCCGUGGAGCAUGCCUGUUUGAGUGUCAUGAAUACUUCAACCCUCCUCUUUCUUUAUGAUCGAAGAGGUGUUUGGAUUCUGAGCGUUUUGCUGGCCUCACGGUCGAGCUCGCUCGUAAUGCAUUAGCAUCCGCAAUCGAACUUCGGAUUGACUUGGCGUAAUAGACUAUUCGCUGAGGAAUUCUAGUCUUCGGACUAGAGCCGGGUUGGAUUAAAGGAAGCUCCUAAUCCUAAUGUCUAUUUUAAGAUUAGAUCUCAAAUCAGGUAGGACUACCCGCUGAACUUAAGCAUAUCAAUAAGCGGAGGAA
RNAcentral lists this ribosomal RNA (638 nucleotides) under Rhodotorula glutinis. Its description in RNAcentral is "eukaryotic LSU rRNA". The stretch from base 206 to 359 matches the Rfam family "5.8S ribosomal RNA". The record is from RNAcentral. Lineage: Eukaryota; Fungi; Basidiomycota; Microbotryomycetes; Sporidiobolales; Sporidiobolaceae.